Molecule: ribosomal RNA, 378 nt
Filed under: uncultured bacterium
Lineage: Bacteria
Description: bacterial SSU rRNA
Rfam family: Bacterial small subunit ribosomal RNA
Source: RNAcentral
UAAUACGUAGGGGGCGAGCGUUGUCCGGAAUUAUUGGGCGUAAAGCGCGCGCAGGCGGCUGUUUAAGUCUGGUGUUUAAUCCUGGGGCUCAACCCCGGGUCGCACUGGAAACUGGGCAGCUUGAGUGCAGAAGAGGAGAGUGGAAUUCCACGUGUAGCGGUGAAAUGCGUAGAGAUGUGGAGGAACACCAGUGGCGAAGGCGACUCUCUGGGCUGUAACUGACGCUGAGGCGCGAAAGCGUGGGGAGCAAACAGGAUUAGAUACCCUGGUAGUCUACGCCGUAAACGAUGAAUGCUAGGUGUUAGGGGUUUCGAUACCCUUGGUGCCGAAGUUAACACAUUAAGCAUUCCGCCUGGGGAGUACGGCCGCAAGGCUGAA